GACGAACGCUGGCGGCGUGCUUAACACAUGCAAGUCGAACGGAAAGGCCCUGCUUUUGUGGGGUGCUCGAGUGGCGAACGGGUGAGUAACACGUGAGUAACCUGCCCUUGACUUUGGGAUAACUUCAGGAAACUGAGGCUAAUACCGUAUAGCAGCUCCUGCUGCAUGGUGGGGGUUGGAAAGUUUCGGCGGUUGGGGAUGGACUCGCGGCUUAUCAGCUUGUUGGUUGGGUAGUGGCUUACCAAGGCUUUGACGGGUAGCCGGCCUGAGAGGGUGACCGGCGACAUUGGGACUGAGAUACGGACCAGACUCCUACGGGAGGCAGCAGGGGGGAAUAUUGCCCAAUGGGAGGAAGCCUGAUGAAGAAACGCCGCGUGCGGGAUGACGGCCUUCGGGUUGUAAACAGCUUUAGGCUGUGACGAAGCGGGAGUGACGGUAAUGGGUAAAGAAGCACCGGCUAACUACGUG
This 468-nucleotide ribosomal RNA is filed under the name uncultured bacterium. RNAcentral describes it as "partial 16S ribosomal RNA". It matches the Rfam family "Bacterial small subunit ribosomal RNA", at positions 28 to 507 of the family's 1533-position model. The record is from RNAcentral.